GCGGAAUUAGUCUAGCUCGGUAUGACGUCAGCUUCCCAAGUUGAAGGUCGUGGGUUCAAAUCCCGCAUUCCGCA
This 74-nucleotide transfer RNA is filed under the name Candidatus Nitrosopumilus sp. Its description in RNAcentral is "Nitrosopumilus sp. tRNA-Gly". It matches the Rfam family "tRNA". Rfam says of the family: Transfer RNA (tRNA) molecules are approximately 80 nucleotides in length. Their secondary structure includes four short double-helical elements and three loops (D, anti-codon, and T loops). Lineage: Archaea; Thermoproteati; Nitrososphaerota; Nitrososphaeria; Nitrosopumilales; Nitrosopumilaceae. The record is from RNAcentral.